GAUGAACGCUGGCGGCGUGCCUAAUACAUGCAAGUCGAGCGAACAGAUAAGGAGCUUGCUCCUUUGACGUUAGCGGCGGACGGGUGAGUAACACGUGGGUAACCUACCUAUAAGACUGGAAUAACUCCGGGAAACCGGGGCUAAUGCCGGAUAACAUUUAGAACCGCAUGGUUCUAAAGUGAAAGAUGGUUUUACUCUCACUUAUAGAUGGACCCGCGCCGUAUUAGCUAGUUGGUAAGGUAACGGCUUACCAAGGCAACGAUACGUAGCCGACCUGAGAGGGUGAUCGGCCACACUGGAACUGAGACACGGUCCGGGCUCCUACGGGAGGCAGCAGUAGGGAAUCUUCCGCAAUGGGCGAAAGCCUGACGGAGCAACGCCGCGUGAGUGAUGAAGGUCUUCGGAUCGUAAAACUCUGUUAUUAGGGAAGAACAAAUGUGUAAGUAACUGUGCACGUCUUGACGGUACCUAAUCAGAAAGCCACGGCUAACUACGUG
This 497-nucleotide ribosomal RNA is filed under the name uncultured bacterium. RNAcentral's name for it is "partial 16S ribosomal RNA". It matches the Rfam family "Bacterial small subunit ribosomal RNA", at positions 28 to 507 of the family's 1533-position model. The record is from RNAcentral.